RNAcentral lists this ribosomal RNA (863 nucleotides) under uncultured bacterium. Its description in RNAcentral is "bacterial SSU rRNA". It matches the Rfam family "Bacterial small subunit ribosomal RNA", at positions 8 to 853 of the family's 1533-position model. The record is from RNAcentral.
AGAGUUUGAUCAUGGCUCAGGACGAACGCUGGCGGCGUGCCUAAUACAUGCAAGUAGAACGCUGAAGACUGGUGCUUGCACUAGUCAGAUGAGUUGCGAACGGGUGAGUAACGCGUAGGUAACCUACCUCAUAGCGGGGGAUAACUAUUGGAAACGAUAGCUAAUACCGCAUGACAAUUAAGUACUCAUGUACUAAAUUUAAAAGGAGCAAUUGCUUCACUAUGAGAUGGACCUGCGUUGUAUUAGCUAGUUGGUGAGGUAACGGCUCACCAAGGCUACGAUACAUAGCCGACCUGAGAGGGUGAUCGGCCACACUGGGACUGAGACACGGCCCAGACUCCUACGGGAGGCAGCAGUAGGGAAUCUUCGGCAAUGGGGGCAACCCUGACCGAGCAACGCCGCGUGAGUGAAGAAGGUUUUCGGAUCGUAAAGCUCUGUUGUUAGAGAAGAACGGUAAUGGGAGUGGAAAAUCCAUUACGUGACGGUAACUAACCAGAAAGGGACGGCUAACUACGUGCCAGCAGCCGCGGUAAUACGUAGGUCUCGAGCGUUGUCCGGAUUUAUUGGGCGUAAAGCGAGCGCAGGCGGUUAUUUAAGUCUGAAGUUAAAGGCCGUGGCUCAACCAUGGUUCGCUUUGGAAACUGGAUAACUUGAGUGCAGAAGGGGAGAGUGGAAUUCCAUGUGUAGCGGUGAAAUGCGUAGAUAUAUGGAGGAACACCGGUGGCGAAAGCGGCUCUCUGGUCUGUAACUGACGCUGAGGCUCGAAAGCGUGGGGAGCAAACAGGAUUAGAUACCCUGGUAGUCCACGCCGUAAACGAUGAGUGCUAGGUGUUAGGCCCUUUCCGGGGCUUAGUGCCGCAGCU